UCAUACGUAGGACCCAAGCGUUAUCCGGAAUUACUGGGCGUAAAGAGUUGCGUAGGUGGCAUAGUAAGUGGGGCGUGAAAGCGUGCGGCUCAACCGCAUAUCCGCGUUCCAAACUACUAAGCUUGAGUAUAAGAGAGGUAGAUGGAAUUUCUAGUGUAGGAGUGAAAUCCGUAGAUAUUAGAAGGAACACCGAUGGCGUAGGCAGUCUACUGGCUUAUUACUGACACUAAGGCACGAAAGCGUGGGGAGCGAACAGGAUUAGAUACCCUGGUAGUCCACGCCGUAAACUAUGGAUGCUAGCUGUGACACAUAUCGACCUGUGUCGUAGCGAAGUUAACGCGUUAAGCAUCCCGCCUGGGGAGUACGGUCGCAAGAUUAAAACUCAAAGGAAUUGACGG
This 398-nucleotide ribosomal RNA is filed under the name bacterium enrichment culture. RNAcentral's name for it is "bacterial SSU rRNA". It matches the Rfam family "Bacterial small subunit ribosomal RNA", at positions 521 to 916 of the family's 1533-position model. The record is from RNAcentral.